RNAcentral lists this transfer RNA (69 nucleotides) under Exosoma lusitanicum. Its description in RNAcentral is "tRNA-Val". Lineage: Eukaryota; Metazoa; Arthropoda; Insecta; Coleoptera; Chrysomelidae. The record is from RNAcentral.
CAAAUUGGAGCUUGAGUUUAAGCAUUUUAGUUACAUUAAAAAGUUAGUUGUUUAAGCAAUUUAAUUUGA